CCCUUAAUCUUAAAUGUUCUCACUUCCCCUUCUCUACUUCCCUGAGGCUGACAGUAUCUAGAGUGCCUCAUUCAGUGUGCAGAACUGUGUAAGGAACAACUUUCUGCCUUUUACAUCUUCCGUGUUUUCCGAGGUAAGCAGGGAGGAAGGAGCUCAUGGAAUUUGGAAGAGGUAAGAGUGACCUGCUCACUACAGCAGAACUACAGCAGGAAAAUGGAUCAUCAGACCCUUCUAACAAAGCCGGUCUAUAGAAGCUCAUCCUCAGGAAGGUCUCUUCCCAGCUGGGGCCCAGGAGACAUAGGAUCUGCAGCUGCAAUGCAGGCACCAGAACAAGUAAACAGGGCUCAAGCAAUUUUUUAGAGGCAGGGUCAAUCCAUAUUGAUCCAAACUGACCUCUCGGAUUAAUUCAGUCAGUCCAAGUUACAGCACUUUCAGGUUUACUUGGUACUUCCUUGCAUUACUGUUGAU
Long non-coding RNA from Suricata suricatta (meerkat), 468 nucleotides. RefSeq lists it as uncharacterized. The record is from RefSeq and is a predicted model, not a curated record. The transcript is spliced from 3 exons. NCBI's taxonomy places the organism in Eukaryota, Metazoa, Chordata, Mammalia, Carnivora, Herpestidae.